Molecule: non-coding RNA, 183 nt
Filed under: Nitrospirota bacterium
Lineage: Bacteria; Pseudomonadati; Nitrospirota
Description: Nitrospirae bacterium (hydrothermal vent metagenome) 6S RNA
Rfam family: 6S / SsrS RNA
About the family: E. coli 6S RNA was the first non coding RNA to be sequenced, but its function was unknown until recently. It consists of 184 nucleotides that fold into an extended hairpin structure with a large single-stranded internal bulge.
Source: RNAcentral
AAUUCCCUGCCCUGUUUGUGUAGAAUCGGUCAUUUUGAGCCAACACUUAAUAGAGAGGGAACCUGACUUCAGGUGUGGCGUGCAAGCCGCUUUUAGGGUGGAAGCAUAAAACAUCUGAGAGGGUACCCACUUGGAGAAACCGGUUCAUAAGAUGUCUUUUCACACGGCAGGUGCGGGGAAGUU